Molecule: long non-coding RNA, 836 nt
Organism: Musca domestica (house fly)
Lineage: Eukaryota; Metazoa; Arthropoda; Insecta; Diptera; Muscidae
Exons: 4
Source: RefSeq, a predicted model, not a curated record
CGCUGGCAAUGAAAAUUCCAUUUAACUCAAUUUCACCAGUCCUAUACUAGAUAUAAGCCGGACUAGUACCAAAUGUGUCCCCAAGUAAUGCAAAGGUAACCAAUUGACACCUUUUCGUCCCCAAGUAAUGCAAAGAAGCGACAGUUGUGCAUAAAUAAAAACCACAACGAAAAAACCAAACGAACAUUUGAAUGAGAUCUCUACGAACAAGAACCACUUUGAAUAGUUUUUUUUAGAUUACCAAUAAAAAAACAAUGCACCGUUAUUCUUGAGGAAUGCAAGUGCGUUUUGUUUGGAAAAAGCAUUCUUAUUCUGAUCGUUGUGAAGUGAAGUAUCAUUUUUCUGUGCAAAUAAGUUAUAAAGUGUUGAAAAUAACAAAUAAAAAGGUCAAAUCAAAAUUUUAGCUGAUGCUUUAGCUGAGUUGAAGGUGAUGGUGCUACGAUCUCAAAGUGAUGAGAUACCAUUAUCGAAUAGGUUCCCCAUCACUUAUGAAAAAUAUUGAGAAUCAAUACAUAUAUGUAAAGAUUAUAGCAUCAAUUAUAAAAGGAGAGGAAACAUCGAAAUGUUUAAAAAUGUUAUCGGUUCAAAUAUAACUACGAGUAUAAUAUUGAGGGAAACCAUGGAAAAAAGUUUGAAGUCCCUAAGUAAUAUAUACAGCGUUAUUUUAGAUUCAAUACCAGUUACAGAAUAUUCGGACACCCCUGAAACACAACUGCGAAAAGCAAUACAAGUGCUUUUAUAAAUAUUAAAUUAAAUUUAUUUUUGUUCAAGUUUUAUAGAGUAAGGUAUAUUUGUAUUCAUUUGUUUGCAAUAAAAAAAUGAAUUAAAACUAAAAA